RNAcentral lists this ribosomal RNA (995 nucleotides) under uncultured bacterium. RNAcentral's name for it is "bacterial SSU rRNA". It matches the Rfam family "Bacterial small subunit ribosomal RNA", at positions 355 to 1375 of the family's 1533-position model. The record is from RNAcentral.
UGGGGAAUAUUGCACAAUGGGGGAAACCCUGAUGCAGCGACCCCCCGUGAGCGAAGAAGUAUUUCGGUAUGUAAACUUCUAUCAGCAGGGAAGAAAAUGACGGUACCUGACUAAGAAGCCCCGGCUAACUACGUGCCAGCAGCCGCGGUAAUACGUAGGUCACAAGCGUUGUCCGGAAUUACUGGGUGUAAAGGGAGCGCAGGCGGGAAGACAAGUUGGAAGUGAAAUCUAUGGGCUCAACCCAUAAACUGCUUUCAAAACUGUUUUUCUUGAGUAGUGCAGAGGUAGGCGGAAUUCCCGGUGUAGCGGUGGAAUGCGUAGAUAUCGGGAGGAACACCAGUGGCGAAGGCGGCCUACUGGGCACCAACUGACGCUGAGGCUCGAAAGUGUGGGUAGCAAACAGGAUUAGAUACCCUGGUAGUCCACACCGUAAACGAUGAUUACUAGGUGUUGGAGGAUUGACCCCUUCAGUGCCGCAGUUAACACAAUAAGUAAUCCACCUGGGGAGUACGACCGCAAGGUUGAAACUCAAAGGAAUUGACGGGGGCCCGCACAAGCAGUGGAGUAUGUGGUUUAAUUCGACGCAACGCGAAGAACCUUACCAAGUCUUGACAUCCUGCGACGGACAUAGAAAUAUGUCUUUCCUUCGGGACGCAGAGACAGGUGGUGCAUGGUUGUCGUCAGCUCGUGUCGUGAGAUGUUGGGUUAAGUCCCGCAACGAGCGCAACCCUUACUGUCAGUUACUACGCAAGAGGACUCUGGCAGGACUGCCGUUGACAAAACGGAGGAAGGUGGGGAUGACGUCAAAUCAUCAUGCCCUUUAUGACUUGGGCUACACACGUACUACAAUGGCGUUAAACAAAGAGAAGCAAGACCGCGAGGUGGAGCAAAACUCAGAAACAACGUCCCAGUUCGGACUGCAGGCUGCAACUCGCCUGCACGAAGUCGGAAUUGCUAGUAAUCGUGGAUCAGCAUGCCACGGUGAAUACGUUCCC